GUUACUGCUAUCGGUGUUCGACUAAGCCAUGCAAGUCAUAUGUUCCUCGUGAACAUGGCAUACUGCUCAGUAACACGUGGAUAACCUGCCCUUGGGUCUGGGAUAACCCCGGGAAACUGGGGAUAAUAUCGGAUAACGCAUAUGUGCUGGAAUGCUUUAUGCGUAAAACGGAUUCGUCCGCCCAAGGAUGGGUCUGCGGCCUAUCAGGUAGUAGUGGGUGUAAUGUACCUACUAGCCAACAACGGGUACGGGUUGUGAGAGCAAGAGCCCGGAGAUGGAUUCUGAGACAUGAAUCCAGGCCCUACGGGGCGCAGCAGGCGCGAAAACUUUACAAUGCGGGAAACCGUGAUAAGGGAACACCGAGUGCCAGCAUCAUAUGCUGGCUGUCCAGAUGUGUAAACUACAUCUGUUAGCAAGGGCCGGGCAAGACCGGUGCCAGCCGCCGCGGUAACACCGGCGGCCCGAGUGGUGACCGUUAUUAUUGGGUCUAAAGGGUCCGUAGCCGGUUUGGUCAGUCCUCCGGGAAAUCUGAUAGCUUAACUGUUAGGCUUUCGGGGGAUACUGCCAGGCUUGGAACCGGGAGAGGUAAGAGGUACUACAGGGGUAGGAGUGAAAUCUUGUAAUCCCUGUGAGACCACCUGUGGCGAAGGCGUCUUACCAGAACGGGUUCGACGGUGAGGGACGAAAGCUGGGGGCACGAACCGGAUUAGAUACCCGGGUAGUCCCAGCCGUAAACUAUGCUCGCUAGGUGUCAGGCAUGGCGCGACCGUGUCUGGUGCCGCAGGGAAGCCGUGGAGCGAGCCACCUGGGAAGUACGGCCGCAAGGCUGAAACUUAAAGGAAUUGGCGGGGGAGCACAACAACGGGUGGAGCCUGCGGUUUAAUUGGACUCAACGCCGGACAACUCACCGGGGACGACAGCAAUAUGUAGGCCAGGCUGAAGACCUUGCCUGAAUCGCUGAGAGGAGGUGCAUGGCCGUCGCCAGUUCGUACUGUGAAGCAUCCUGUUAAGUCAGG
This 1016-nucleotide ribosomal RNA is filed under the name uncultured archaeon. Its description in RNAcentral is "bacterial SSU rRNA". It matches the Rfam family "Archaeal small subunit ribosomal RNA", at positions 23 to 1038 of the family's 1478-position model. The record is from RNAcentral.